UGGUGCUACUCUAGAAACUUUAGACCAAUCUAGUACACUCCAAAGUGGUGAAGCAAUUGUCUUACCAGCACCUGGUAAAUAUAAGAGUAGUGAUCAAAAAACGGUUAUGACAGCGCAAGGCCCCAAGAUAAUCGGGAUCCAUGCUAAUGCUAAAGAGAACGAAGAAACACAAAAAUUUGUUAAUUGGUUUUAAAUACGCCAGAAACUUGAGAAAGUAAGAGGAAUAAGAAAAACUCUAAUGAAAAACAAACUGCAGCACAAUACUUUGCUCAAGAGGCAUCUUACAUCUUGCCCUUAAAAGAAAACUUUGAAAAGGUUCAAAUUAACGAUAAAGGUGAGAAAAAUGAAAAUGACACAAAGGGCAAUACUUAUACCGCUAAAGCUUUAGAACUCUUUAAAAAAGUUUCUCAAAAUGAAAUCGUGAGUUACAGUGACCCAAGUGACUUUAGAAGUGGUAAGUUUCGUGAUGCGAUUGGCUCUAACUUUAACGCCAUUAUUAAUUCCAAAGGAGACUUCAAUAAAUUUAUUAGUAGUUUUACCGCAAGUUUAGGCUCAGACUUUUAGUCUUUUAAAUACCCAAUUGAUUUAUUUUUUAAUCGAUUAAUUUAUUUAAUGGAAAAACAAGUAGAUAAAUUAGUGAAAACUUUAAUUCAUCAAAAAGCGUUUCAAUAAAUCCGGUUCUUAGAAAUAAGGUUUUAAUAAAAAAACAUACCAGCAGUUAAUGCUU
Molecule: small RNA, 727 nt
Filed under: Mycoplasmoides pneumoniae M129
Lineage: Bacteria; Bacillati; Mycoplasmatota; Mycoplasmoidales; Mycoplasmoidaceae
Description: Mycoplasma pneumoniae M129 ncRNA
Source: RNAcentral